AGUGAACGCUGGCGGUAGGCCUAACACAUGCAAGUCGAACGGCAGCACGGUAGGAGCUUCCUCUUACGGGUGGCGGGUGGGGUACGGGUUAGGAAUACACCGGACUCUACUUUUUGGUGGGGGCUACGGAAGGGAACUUAACGCUACAACCGAUCCAGACCUACGGGUGAAAGACGGGGAUCUUCGGCCCUUGCGCGUUUGACUGUGCCGAUGGCGGAUUAGCUAGUUGGCGGGGUAAAGGCCCACCAAGGCGACGAUCCGUAGCUGGUCUGAGAGGAUGAUCAGCCACACUGGAACUGAGACACGGUCCAGACUCCUACGGGAGGCAGCAGUGGGGAAUAUUGGACAAUGGGCGCAAGCCUGAUCCAGCCAUACCGCGUGGGUGAAGAAGGCCUUCGGGUUGUAAAGCCCUUUUGUUGGGAAAGAAAAGCAGCAGGUUAAUACCCCGCUGUUCUGACGGUACCCAAAGAAUAAGCACCGGCUAACUUCGUG
This 492-nucleotide ribosomal RNA is filed under the name uncultured bacterium. Its description in RNAcentral is "partial 16S ribosomal RNA". It matches the Rfam family "Bacterial small subunit ribosomal RNA", at positions 29 to 507 of the family's 1533-position model. The record is from RNAcentral.